This is a non-coding RNA of Xyrichtys novacula (pearly razorfish), 1260 nucleotides long. NCBI's taxonomy places the organism in Eukaryota, Metazoa, Chordata, Actinopteri, Labriformes, Labridae. The record is from the annotation of a GenBank genome assembly.
AUGCACGGGAUGCAAGAACUGAUACAUCAACUCAUAAGAUGCCGCCACUUGUGGAGCUGUGAAGUGAUAAGUGCUGUCACUCCUUCAGGAGGUCUGCGCAAUUACCCCUGAGUGCUCUGGUGUCCAUCCACAGGCCAAGCACACGCGGGUCAGAUAAACUGGAAACGGUGGGUGUGAUUGCUUUGUCUAUGUGUCAAACAUGUUGGACCGCCAGAGUAAGCACUGCCUCGACCUCUGCACAGGGUAAGUGGGUACAAAUGACGGGAAGAUUGAACCACUCUAAAGUUUGACAACAACAACCGCCAUGCCAAAAAACUGGGGUCAAGAUGUUCUUUCUCCAAACAUGCUGUUUGUUCACCAAACUUUUUUUUUCCACAUGUAUUUUUUUUAUUCUUCCAGAAAAACUGAACGGAUCAACAUGCCUAUAAUUCUUAUACUAUAUCCAGACAGAAAUAUAAAUACAUCAUUGGAUGGUAAGCCUGCAUUUUCCAAUAUUUAUUAAUUAAAGGAAGACUAAUCAAACUGACUGAGGAAAUUUCCACAUUAAGUCUGUAACUGUCAGCAAUUUUAUCAGCUGACAAGUUGACUGAAAAAUUGUUUUGAUCUUUGAUCAACUUAUCAGACUGUACAAGUGUAGUUGUGGUGACAAUAAUGGUUUCUGAUGAGGAGUUACAGAGCCCAAUGAUGGUGGUCACCAUAAAGAAAAAAACGUCUAAUUUUCUUAGCAAACUAAAAACAGGGAGAAAAGUUUGAGCAACAGUAUUAGAGGCUAACAAAACACUUAGAUACAACACGCACCUGUUGGUCAAAUCACCAUGCCCCUGACUAUGGAAAUUUAUCUAUAACUCUAUCUGCUGUAUAUUCAAUAUGAAAAAGUUCAAUCUACAUGCAGUGUGUGAUGCAAUAACGAUCCAAAAUUACAUGCUUUUUGUCAUCUUUCAGUGCACCGAUGUUAAGCUGCAGCUGCAUCUUCCUACUCCUGCUGCCACCAUGAUGGAAAACAACCACAUCACUGCACUUUUGCAUGGCACAUCUCACUUUAAAAACUCUCAUACGGCUCAGGUGACAAGUCAGACGUAAAAUGCACUUUGUGUCAUGGAAUAAAAAUAUCACCUGAGUACUUUGGGUUUGAGCUUCAGGCUACAAGCUAAGCAUACAAGUGCGGCUAAUUACGCUGAUGUCAGCAGGAAACCACAUCUCAAAUGCUGGAAAAGAACCAAACAUCACAUCUGACCUGUGGAUGAAAUGUGGAAAUCGUAG